Molecule: long non-coding RNA, 1823 nt
Filed under: Sus scrofa (pig)
Lineage: Eukaryota; Metazoa; Chordata; Mammalia; Artiodactyla; Suidae
Description: lncRNA (ENSSSCG00035077743.1)
Source: RNAcentral
CAAAGAGGUCAAAUGCAUUUAAUGCGGUCUAGCCUCGUGGCCUAUGUCUUUCGAUACUGCUACGUAUUGGAAAAUAACAUGAGAUUUCAUUUCACCGUUUAAAAUAGAGUCGACGUCUACGUGACCUCACACAGGCAGACACCCUUUGUGCAGGAGCCUCCUUCCCACCAGGCCCCCCACCCCCCUCCGGGGCCCUCGGGCGGGCGGGCGGGGACCGGGCGGCACAGCACCAGGGGGGACGGGGCGGGGGACCGGGCUCUGAGCGACCCGCGUGGGCCUGCACGUGGACACGCCACCCCCCACGGACAUUCAUGCUCACACGCUCCGGGACCCGCACAGGUUCACGAAGCCAGGCACACAGCCUGCAGCCCGGGCCGGCUGCUGCACGCAGGCACCACACGCGUGUACACGGGCCUCCUACAUGCACUCGUGUGCACGUGCUCACCUUUGCACACGUGUAGGUGUCACCUCGUGCCCAGGACACAGAAGCCUCACCCUGCCACACGUGCAGCAUGCGUACCCACCCACGUGGACAUCACCAAGGCAGAGGCUGGUGGGACCACCAGGUCCAGCUGUGCCCACGUCCACGGCCGGGGUCCAUCCUGAGUGCAGCGUGCCAGCCUCCAGCCUCGUAAACAUUUAAAAGCCUGAGUAUACAGCGAGUGCACACAGACCUACAGGUAGAUACACCUGGAACGUGUGAGUGCGUGUGUCCCCACACGUACGUAUCAUGCUCAGGUGCCAUCAGCGCAGACUCACAGACGCAGGUCGCCUUGUGCACACACCUGCACGACACGUGUCCACUCCUGUACGAUGACCUCACACGAUCCUGCACAGACAGGCAAAGCCACACGGGACCGGUUCACUCACACGCAGACACGUGGGAAGUCACGCCUCGGGGCACACACACGCUUGCCCCGUGGCCCCUCUCCGCGGAAGCAGCUCGGUGUUUCGGGGCAGAGGGCCCUGGGCCACUCCAGCCUCUGCACCACCGGGCCCAGGCCGGCAGGAAACUUCCCGGAAAUACCACCGCGGGGGGCGGGGGCGGGGGCGGGGCAGGCACACACCCACCUGCACAGCGCACCGGUCACGUAUCACGUACACGCGCGCUUGGCACACACGCAGCACGCGGCACGCCGCACGCUCGCUGGGUGAGCGUGGACCCCACGCUGCACACACAGGCACACCGCCCCAGGGACCACGUGAUCCUCCCUCUGCACACACAGCCCCUCCCAUCCGCCCUCCCGGUUCAAGGGCACUAAAGAGGGAGACUAUUUUGGUCUUUAGCAGAAGCAAUCAAUCAAUCAAUAAAUAAAUAAAAUACAGAGGAGGGAAAAAGAGGGCAGCAGAGUUCGAAAACGUAGCAUCUGCCUUUGGUGAGAAGUAAAAGGCAGCUUGGGAUGGCUCUCCUGCAGGGACCGAGGCCCAAGCCGUCAGGCACGGGGCCUGGAGGCAGCCAGGCCCGAGAGGAGGAGCACCAGGCCCCCGGGUCGGCCAGGACCUUGGGGGGUCCAGGGCUCUACCCGGGAUGGGCUGAGUCGGGGGUUGGGCCGCCAGGCCCGUGUGCCCGCCCCGAGGGACCAGACUGCCUCCUCCCCUCCCGGCUCAGCCUGAGAUCUGGGUGGGGGGUGGGGUGGGGUCUGAGGCUAGGGCGGGGUGUGGGUCAGGCGUGUCUCUGGGUGGGAGUGGAGAGCCAGGCUCAGACCUCAGGGCCGGGCCUCCAGCUGCUGCAGGAGAAGAGGAAGGGGGAAGAGGUCGCAGGCCCCACCACCGCAGGUCCCCGCCUCUCCGUGGGCCUCACCCACCUGCACGCAGCCUCCGUC